UGGCGGACGGGUGAGUAACGCGUGAGGAACCUGCCUUGGAGAGGGGAAUAACACUCCGAAAGGAGUGCUAAUACCGCAUGAUGCAGUUGGGUCGCAUGGCUCUGACUGCCAAAGAUUUAUCGCUCUGAGAUGGCCUCGCGUCUGAUUAGCUAGUAGGCGGGGUAACGGCCCACCUAGGCGACGAUCAGUAGCCGGACUGAGAGGUUGACCGGCCACAUUGGGACUGACACACGGCCCAGACUCCUACGGGAGGCAGCAGUGGGGAAUAUUGGGCAAUGGGCGCAAGCCUGACCCAGCAACGCCGCGUGAAGGAAGAAGGCUUUCGGGUUGUAAACUUCUUUUGUCGGGGGCGAAACAAAUGACGGUACCCGACGAAUAAGCCACGGCUAACUACGUGCCAGCAGCCGCGGUAAUACGUAGGUGGCAAGCGUUAUCCGGAUUUACUGGGUGUAAAGGGCGUGUAGGCGGGAUUGCAAGUCAGAUGUGAAAACUGGGGGCUCAACCUCCAGCCUGCAUUUGAAACUGUAGUUCUUGAGUGCUGGAGAGGCAAUCGGAAUUCCGUGUGUAGCGGUGAAAUGCGUAGAUAUACGGAGGAACACCAGUGGCGAAGGCGGAUUGCUGGACAGUAACUGACGCUGAGGCGCGAAAGCGUGGGGAGCAAACAGGAUUAGAUACCCUGGUAGUCCACGCCGUAAACGAUGGAUACUAGGUGUGGGGGGUCUGACCCCCUCCGUGCCGCAGUUAACACAAUAAGUAUCCCACCUGGGGAGUACGAUCGCAAGGUUGAAACUCAAAGGAAUUGACGGGGGCCCGCACAAGCGGUGGAGUAUGUGGUUUAAUUCGAAGCAACGCGAAGAACCUUACCAGGGCUUGACAUCCCACUAACGAAGCAGAGAUGCAUUAGGUGCCCUUCGGAGAAAGUGGAGACAGGUGGUGCAUGGUUGUCGUCAGCUCGUGUCGUUGAGAUGUUGGGGUAAUUCCGGCAGCGAGCGCUAUCCUUAUUGUUCGUUGGUCCGCCAGAGCACUCAAGCGAGACUGCCAUUGACAAAACGGAGGAAGGUGGGGAUGACGUCAAAUCAUCAUGCCCCUUAUGUCCUGGGCCACACACGUGCUACAAUGGUGCAUACCAGGGGAAGGGACUUCCGGGGAGCAGACCAACUUCAUAAAA
RNAcentral lists this ribosomal RNA (1168 nucleotides) under uncultured bacterium. Its description in RNAcentral is "bacterial SSU rRNA". It matches the Rfam family "Bacterial small subunit ribosomal RNA", at positions 96 to 1281 of the family's 1533-position model. The record is from RNAcentral.